RNAcentral lists this long non-coding RNA (418 nucleotides) under Bos taurus (domestic cattle). Its description in RNAcentral is "long non-coding RNA NONBTAT024120". Lineage: Eukaryota; Metazoa; Chordata; Mammalia; Artiodactyla; Bovidae. The record is from RNAcentral.
UGCAUUCAUUAUAAACUGUCAAUCCAUUUGUUAUAGUUUGGUACCACUCUGGAAUCUUCUGCCUUUUUGCUGUUUUGCUAUAUGGUUGCAAAUAGUUUUUGUGAGGAUGAGAAAGAAAUAAGACUAACUAUUAAUAGCUUUGCAAAUAAUUUGGGUAGAUUUUUUGUUAGUUUUGAAGUCAAAAAACUGACUUUUUUCUUCCCGUUAUUUGACUGCAGUGUCAUCUUUUCUUCUUCUGAAGCUUCGUUUAUUGCCCCAAAGAUAUGGAACUAUUAGAGUCUGUGAACAGGCAUAUAAAUUCUGUUGGAUUUCUCAGUGCCUGCUUUUGUUACAGAUAUUUUGUUGGGUUCAUUAAAACAUAUCUGUUGAAAUGGGGGUUGGUAAGAAGGAAUAGAGGGAAGAGACUACAUUGUCAGUA